AACGAACGCUGGCGGCAUGCCUAACACAUGCAAGUCGAACGAGACCUUCGGGUCUAGUGGCGCACGGGUGCGUAACGCGUGGGAACCUGCCCUUAGGUUCGGAAUAACUCCCCGAAAGGGGUGCUAAUACCGGAUAAUGUCUUCGGACCAAAGAUUUAUCGCCUUUGGAUGGGCCCGCGUUGGAUUAGCUAGUUGGUAGGGUAAAAGCCUACCAAGGCGACGAUCCAUAGCUGGUCUGAGAGGAUGAUCAGCCACACUGGGACUGAGACACGGCCCAGACUCCUACGGGAGGCAGCAGUGGGGAAUAUUGGACAAUGGGCGAAAGCAUGAUCCAGCAAUGCCGCGUGAGUGAUGAAGGCCUUAGGGUUGUAAAGCUCUUUUAACCGGGAUGAUAAUGACAGUACCGGGAGAGUAAGCCCCGGCUAACUCCGUG
RNAcentral lists this ribosomal RNA (433 nucleotides) under uncultured bacterium. Its description in RNAcentral is "partial 16S ribosomal RNA". It matches the Rfam family "Bacterial small subunit ribosomal RNA", at positions 29 to 507 of the family's 1533-position model. The record is from RNAcentral.